Molecule: long non-coding RNA, 16440 nt
Filed under: Phaseolus vulgaris (common bean)
Lineage: Eukaryota; Viridiplantae; Streptophyta; Magnoliopsida; Fabales; Fabaceae
Description: long non-coding RNA (PVUL_LNC001515)
Source: RNAcentral
AUCUGAUUUCAUAAAUCGCACCAUUUAUUAGUCACUCCUAUAAAUUCAUUACUACAAAACAUAGAAACAAAUAUGGCACAUAAUAACCCCCCAAAUCACAAUCACAGAUCCUUAAAUGAACUUCAUCAGCUCAGAGUAACUCAAAUUCACAAUCCCAAAAAAUCAAUCAACUACCAUCUUAAGGAUUGCUUCUCACUUAUAUACUGUGUUCUAGCUAUGUUCCUAUUACUGAUAGAUAAGAGAUUUUCAACACCAAUAAUUGAUAUGACUGUAGAUAAAGUUGAUACAAUCAAUUGACGAAAGUUAACCAAUUUGUUUUAUGAAAGUUCUCUAACUUAUUCGAAGAUUUCACAAGAUUAAGUUGAUGUUUGGGGAGAAAUAAGAAGAAAGGAAGAAAAGAGGAAAACAUGGGUUACCUUGUCAUCAAUGAAUUUGGACCAGAAACGAGCCAAGGCUCUCUGGUAAGGAUCAGAAGGCAAGAUGGGGUUGUUGUUCCAGGUCUCAUCGAUGUACUCAACAAUCACAAGGGACUCCGCUAGGGGUUUGUCACCGUGAACAAAGACUGGAACCUUCUUGUGAACUGGGUUGUAUUUGAGAAGCUGUUCACUCUUGUUGCCCAAGUUUUCUUCCACAUAUUUGUAUUCAAUUCCCUUCAACUUUAGGGCUAUCUUCACCCUGCAAACAAAAGGGCUUGCAGUAGCUCCCAGAAGGGUCACCUCUUCCUGACUUGAAGCCAUUGCAGCACUCUAGCAAGAACGUGGGAAAAGUUGCUAAUUGUGUCUACAAUUUAUCACCAACUAAUCUACAUAAAUAUGGCGCAUCAGAAUAAUCGAGAAACCAAAAAAGGUUUGAUCCAUGGUCAAUGGCAAGUGAUGUAAGCGGUUACAUCAUCAUCAACAUUGUUACGAACAAAAAAAGCACACUUUGGUAUUCGUGUUCACGUGUACUUGGCAACACACACCACGUUAGAUGUUAAUUCUACUCAACUUUAUCCACGUUCCAUCGUUUUCCACGUUACAACUUGGUACACCUUUAAAUUUAAAAUAUGUAUAAUUUUAAUUAACAAAUUGGUAGGUUUUUACGGUUUAAAAAUUUAUAGUUUUAAUUAAAAUUUAACUUUAAUUAACAUUAUGAAAAGCUUUAAUUAAACACUGUAGCAAAAUUGAAAAAUGGGAAUUCUUAAAUUUCGGUAAAUGAAAAUAAGAAAUCGUGGAGACACGUAGCAACUACUGAAUCAGAUACUUCAGUCAGAUAACUAUGGUUUGAUUGGUCAUUGAGUUCGUCACAAGCUGUAAAAGUCAAGUUUGAAUUCUGCAAGUACUCCUCUUUCCAUGGCCACCUUCGUUGAACCUUACUGCUUAAUUAUUUUCAUGUUUUUUUAUAUUUUAUUAUCAUUUUCUUCUGUGAAAUUUGUUAGAAAAAAAAUCUAAAUUAAAAAAUGAGAAAUUCAUGAUAGUAGUAAUUAAAAGAAACAAUUUUUAUAAUAAAAAAUAACGAAAUAAAAUAUUAGAGAGAAGAAAUUAUAAAAGGUGUAGGUUGAAAAGCAUGUAUAAUAAUAUUGUUCUUGGAGAACACGUUCUGACAUGGAUAAAAGGAACUAAUACACGCUAGCGCUACUAUUGCAAUAUAUAGAACAAAAUACUUCCAGAAUACCAAUGUCAAAAGGUCUGAAUAAGGAAAAACAACAAUGAACUUUUUAAUAUAAUGCAUCUCUUGUCUUUUGAUAUAGUAACUUCAGUAUUACACUGCAUUGACAUUUAAGAAACUCAAUCUUAGUAGAAAAAGUAUAAAGUAGUAAUAUUUGUUUCUCAAUAGAGCUGAAAUAAUAAUUUAUUUAACAUAUUUUCGUCAUACUACAUCUCUAGUUAAUGUAAAAAUAUAAUCACUAGUAGAUAAAUUAUGGGUAUAUCUUCAUAAUUUAUUCAGUGUAUAUGUUAGGUUGGAUUUCGAGAAAUUUGUUAGAUAUAAAUCAAUAAUUGAAAAAUAUAUUUACCGAUCAAACCACUUCAUUUAAAAUUUUAAAACUUUAUGAACACCGAUUAUUUUAAAAAAAAAGUAUCAAUUUAUCUUUGGUUAUAGCAAUUUGACUAUCACACUGAAUUGCAAUUGAAGAUAUGGACUUUAUUUAACAAUGAUAAAUCAUAUAACAAUUGCAAUUGAAGAUAUGGACUUAUUUAACAAUGAUAAAUCAUAUAAUUUUUUUUAAGAAACUCCAUUUAAUAAUUUGAACUUUCAUGAUAGAGCAUAAAAUAAUAGUUUAUUUAACAAAUUUUCAUGAUACUCCACCUCAUGCUAAUGGUGUAAAGAAAUAACUAGUAGUUGAUUAAUUAUGAGUAUAUAUUUUUGUAAUUAAUCUACCAAUACUUUUAAAAUAUAUUCAUAUUUCUUUUAUUCUUCUAUAGUUCUAUAAGGUCUUUAUUAGGUUGGUUCUUAUAGAUUUUCUCUUUUAAAUAAUCAUUUAAAAGAAGUCUUUAAAAUCCAUGUAAUGAAUUUCUAAUAAAAACACAAGUAACAACAAUUAGGACUCCAAUGAGAGUAAUUUUAGAAACAAAUGAAUAUUUAUAAACAAAUCUACACAUUCUACUUAUUGGUAACCAUUAACAAUAAGUUUUGCCUUAACAUUAUUUGUAGAUAUAUUACUUCUAAUUUUUUUUCUUGAAAUUCCAUUUGUAGUCAAUACUUUUACAACUAAAAGGCACAUUAGUUAAAAUUCAAGAAGUUUUAUAUUGAGAAUCCAUUUAAUUAUAAAUAACGCUUUUUAAUUUGAUUAGAACCUAAUUCGAAUUAGUAUAUUUAUGAUAAGAAAUAUAAAUUUAUUGUAGAACACAAAACAUAAAACUGAAAGAUGUUCACCAUUGAACAUGAAUUUAAUUCAUAUGAAUUAAAUAUGAAAUCUGUAUCUAAUAAUAAGAAUAAUAUAACACAAGGAAGAAUAUAGAACAAGAAUUUUUAGAAACAUGUCACUUUAAUACAAGAUCAAUUCAAAAGAUUAUUUAAGGGUGAAAACUUACCUCUAACAAAAAAUAAAUGAACAUACACAUAGAAAUCUGAAAUAGAAACAUAAAGAAGAAAGACCAUCGUCAAUUUGAUAACUCAAAUGAAAGAAAAUAGAAAAAUGGAGAGGAAGAACUUAUGGUUGGAUUAAGAUUUUCAUGCCAAUUGGAGAAGCUUUAAGAAUGAAGAAGUUAGCACUUGAUCCAAUGAUCUAACUAAGACUCAACCAAAAAAUAACUCUCUCCCUUUUAAAGUACUCUAAAAAUUACUUUCACUCAAUUAUAUCAAAAGUUAUUUUACAAGAAAAGAAAAUAUGUUGGUUAUUUAUAGUCUAAGCAUCCAAAUUUCUACACCAAAAUUAAAUGUAUAUAUGCCUUGAAAUUAAAUGCAAAUUAACGUAAGAACUUAUAAGCUUUUGCUGAAAUUUAAACUAGUCUAAAGAUGAAGAUCUGUAUUUGAAAACUAAAAAUGAAAUUAAGGAAAACUCCACUAGUUGCAUAAAAAUUGAGGAGCAUCCAUGCUUGGUCUUUUCACACUUGUCUUGCCUUACUUGGUUCCUUAGUUUUCUUCCUUUAACUUCCCAUGUGUGUUGCUUGAGACUUAGGAGGACUUGAUUGAGCUUCAUAGCCUUUAAUUUUCUCAUUCAUUCUUUGUCUUCUAAAGUUCAUACCUUCUAGCUGGUUGGACUUAAUAUGAUAAAUUACAAUAUUACUAUUUACACUAUAAAAGCAUGUGUUUAUUUAAGACUAUUUAAUCAUUCAUAUUCAUUAUUCACCCGUCAAAAUUUAACAUUUUUUAUUACCAUUACUACUAGAAGGUAAGACACAAACUAGAAAGAUCACAAAUAGAUUUAGCCAAUUUAUCCUUUUAAAGAAUAUUUUUUCAAAAAAAUUAAAUUACAUAAUGAUAUUGUUAAAAAUUUCAACCACUUCAUAAUUUAUAAUUAAGAAGUAAUAUGUAAAGAGUAAUCAAUAAAAAGGCGAACCACAAUUUUAAGACUAAUUUUUCUUUUCUUUCUAAGAGGAAUGUUAACCUUUGCAAGAAUAUACACACUUUGAUAUAUUUAUAAUAUGAUUUUUUUUUCUCCAUAAUUCAUAGGGAAUUUUACAGGAACAAUUAUAAAGAAUUCUAUUUACGAAUAUGACAUAAGAAAUAUGAAGCUUCAACCUGUAUAUUUUUACACAAACUUGACCUUAAGCUUAAGCAUAACAUUUAUAAUAUCAACCAAGAUUCUACUCUUCUUUUUUCAAGUAUACCAUUAGAUCAUGGAACAUACAAAGGUGUUAUUUGACAAAUAAUAUAAUGUAUUUUAAAAAAACACUCAUUUAUAAAGAUAUGUAUUUUUUAUGUCUAUUUAAUUUUAUUUUUAACUAAUUUUCUAACUCUUUUUUGUAUAUUUUGAAUUUAUCAAAAAAAAUAAUUUUCUAAUUAAUUAAAUACACAAUAAUAUUUAGAGAAAUCACCAAUAAAAGUAAUAAAGUAUCUACUAUUACACUCGUUACUAAACUAAUUCAAGUAAAUUUUUUAAGAUAUUUAUUAUAAAAUUAGUAAAUUUAUCAUACAAGACCGUGAUGACUUAAUAUGGUAAAAAAGUUUUUGUAAAUUUAUAUAAAAAUACAAUUUUAAAAAUACGUAUUAUAAAAAUUAAUAAAUUAUUACGAUCUACCUUUAGGAUAUUUUUUGUAAGGCAUAUAUAAAACAAACUUAUUCGCUUCAAUAAUGCAAGUCAUUAUUAAAAUCGGAUGGAAUAAGGACUCGGUUAGUGGAUCACUACUUAGAUUAGUGAAUUAUUAGGCGCACUUGGAGUGAAAGGAAAUUGCUAUCAAUAUUUUUAGUGAAGCAUAUUCAUUUAUCACAUAUCAUAUCAUUAAACUAGUAUUAUGUUACACUUUAAUUAUAAUGUGUUUUGUGUUAACGAUGAUUUAAUUUACCCUUUCAAAAAAUUAUUUUGUUCUUUAUUUAAAGUAAUUAUCCCUUAAUAUUAACUUAUUUAUAAUAUAUAAUAUAACAAGUAAAAAUUAAUUAAUUAAAUUUUAGCAAAAAUAAAUAAUAUUCAGAUUUAUGUAUAUAUUUUUAUUUUAUGUAAAUAAUGACCACUUUAAAAUUAAAUAUAAAAAUACUAUUAAACAUAAUUUAAAUGUGUUACUUUUAAAAUGUUACUUCUUAUAAAUAUAUAAUUUUUGUAAACUUUUAUACACGUACUAUUAUACAUAAAUCGUACUAUCACUAGUGGAAAAAACUUAUUUAUGACACUAAAUACAUAUUAUUUUUAUUGUCAAACGUUGUUCAUUAAAACACGUUUAACAUUUUUUAAAUUAAAACGAGUAUGAAAUGACGAUUGUGGGUGAAACUACCAUUUUAGACCAAAUCGAUUGAGUCUAAAAUGACAAUUGUGGGUGGAUGUCAUUGGCCAGAUAAGCCAAUGUGAGUUACUAACAGAGGGCGCACUACAAGAAAUUUAGCUGUCAACGAAAAGUGAGGGCUAUAAAAAAGAAGUCACUAGCAUGGAUGAAGUCUACUCAUGUUGGACAAAAAAAUAAAUAUAAAAUAUUGUGUCUACAAUGGAGACCUUUAACUCUCACUAAAAAUUAUUAAAAUAAUAAUAAUAAGUUAGCAUUUAGAAUGGAGACACAAAGUAGAUGCAAUGAAAAAAAAUUAAGUGACAAAAUAAUAUUGAAUCUAGAAUGGGGACACAAAGUGGAUGCAAAUUAAAAAUUAUUAAAAUAAUAAUAAUAAGUUAGCAUCUAAAAUAGGGACACAAAGUAGAUGUAAUAAAAAAAAUAAGUUGUAGAAUGAUACUGCACUGAGAAUGAGGUCACAAAGUGUGCAAACUAAUGUUUUAUUACAUUUAGCGUAUGCCUAGGCGACACUAAGGUGAUAUAGACAUUUAUUGUCACCUAAGCCCAUGCUAAGUUAUUUAAUGAGAAAAAAAAUAAAAUAUUAAAACAUUUUUGUCUCACAUUUUCAUUUUCUCACACUUUCAAUUUCUCAUUUCUGUCUCACACUUUCAAACUCAUAAUCCUGAAAUUGCUCUUAAAAACCCUACGUUUUCUUCGUUGCCAUUUCGCUCUCCUUAAUUUCAUUUUUCGUUUUUAUCUUCGUGGCCAUUUUUCUCUCCUUAAGUGCAUUGUACUCAUUUAUUUCCCAGGUAGUGUCCCCAAUGGUGACAAUUUACUCACAUUUGUUUUCUCACGUAGUGUCCCCAAUGGCGACACUAAGUUUAAUUAUUGUUGGAGAUUCCACAUUGACUAGAAAUUAGGACAUUUCAUAGUAUAUAAGUGGGUGCAAACCUUACCUUAUAAGUCAGUUUUAUGAGGUUGAGUCAGGCUUAAAGUCUACUUCUUAAUAUGGUAUCAGAGUCAGUUUGAGCCUAUCCUAGCGAUUGUUUGUUUGUUGGGCUUAUCAUGCCACCCGCUAUCAGGCAUUAUCGGACCACCCAUAAUAUAUAGUCUCACGCAUGAGUUGGUAGCCUCAACGUGAGGGGUGAGUGUUGGAGAUCCCACAUCGACUAGAGAUUAUGACAUUUCAUAGUAUAUAAGUGGGUGAAAAUCUCACCUUAUAAGCAAUUUUAACGUCCACUUCUUAAUAACUAUUUAAUUUUAUAUCCAUUUUAGUGUCCCCCAAACCUACACUAUAUAUAUAUUUCUUUAUGUAGGCUUAGCCAACACUACCUUAUAAAUUUGUGUCCCAUUGGAGGUCGUCUUUAAUGCAUAGCCACCAAAAGAUUAGCUUCCAUUUUUAUUGGGACGUUAAACCCACACUAGCCCCAAGUAACGUCUCUCUUUUUCUUUUUGCGUCACUUUUAGGGACUCUACCAUCAUUAUUUCUUGUAGUGGCAACAUCUUUCCUCAGGUGGUGGCCAUUGGAAAAGUCUUUCAAGAGGCCACUACCUUACAUAACGUUCUCCCCCCCCCCCCCCCACUGAUGUAGUGAAGGUAACGGUGAAAAAAGUACGAGUUGUUGAUGCUCGUGUUCCACCUACAGAUGAGGUAACCACUUAGUCGAGGCAUUUCAGAUAUUCAUAGCUUGACCCAGACACCUCAUUCAAAUUAUACCACAACCCCCGGUAAUAAUUUCAUUUCAUUAUAUUAAUUUAUAUUUUUGUAUUGCAUCUAAUUUAAUACAAAUGUUCUUUAUUUUGUAAGAAUCUCAGCACAACCAAGCUCGCAAAAGAAGUUUGAGAUUCCCAUUGACGAUCCUAUACCUUCUUUAACAACAACGACUAAAUUGUUAGAAUAUAUGGCCUUAAACGAGAGGGGGGUGAAUUGUUUAAGAGGGGGUUUUGAAAUCUUUUUGAUCUUUAACAAAAUUCUUUGUAUGAAUCCAGAACAGAAAUCAGGUUAGCCAAGAACAAGAUCAAUAAAACAACAAAGCAGCAGAAAACAAUCGAUUGUUUCUGCAAAACAAUCGGUUGUUUAUACCAGUAAAACUAAAAACAUAAUGUAAACGAGUUUAAGGGUAAGAGAAAGAUACACCAACAGUUUAUAUUGGUUCACUCUUAAACCAAGAGCUACAUCCAGUCCCCAAAAAACCACUGGUAAUCCACUAAGUAAUCAAACCAGAUUACAACACACAAUCCACCAAAGCAGUAACCUUGAACCCUUCAAGAAACACACUCACUUUGGCAAAUCACACACCAAAAGUAUUGAUCUUGAUCCCUUCAAGAGCACACAACACUCAUCGGCAACACAACACCAGAAAUACAGAAGGUUGAGAAGAGAUUACACUCGUUUACAGAACAAUCUGAAAUUAAUACAAAUGCAAUCCUAUUCCACUCUCUUAGAAAACCCAAAGCUUUGAUGUGAAUAUUCAAAUCUUGAAUCAACUCUUUCACAACUGAAAAACUCAAGUAUGUUUCUCUACUUUGUUUGAAAACAUAAACAAGCUAUUUAUAUUUUCCAAAGAUUGGUCAAAGCAUUUAAUGAAGGAGCGUAUUCAAUUGGAAAUCAUUUAAAGCACAUUCAACCAUCAAAAUAGAAUUCUGUUAAGAUUUUCAAAGAAACAAUCGGUUGAAACCACGAAACAACCAAUUGUUUGGUUUGGCUGUUAAGUCAACCAAACUUAAACAAUUUUCAACCUUUUCAAAAACUCCUAAGAGUAAAACAACCAGUUUAUUCGACAAAACAACAUGAUGUUUUUCACUUAGUUUGAAAAACACUUUAUUUCAAAAAUGAUUUAAAACACAUUAGCUUUAGAUUCAACAAAGGAGUGGAUUACAAAUAAAACUACCCAGAUCCCUCCCAAAACACAACAACAACACAGCCUUGCAUCAAGCACAAAAGAUUUGAAUUCUUCAAAACACUUGAUAACUCUUGAUCAACAUAAAUAUAUUGAUCUAAAACCUAUCGAGAUUUCGUGGGAUGAUACUUUUUUUGGAAGAAACACUGACAUGCCCUUGUACAUAUAGAUAUCAUAUUUGUUAGAAUUUGCAACUGGAAACUAGGAGCUCAAUAUAACUAUAGUUCAUUUUUUUAUGAUGUAAGUAUCUUUACCUAUAUUAAUAUUUACUUUAUGUUAAAUUAUUAUUUAUUAUGAUUUAUCUAAUAACUUAUAUGUAUUUGUCUGGAGUUUCUAUUAAUGACGGGAAUCAAGAUGUCUAUGGAUUCUUGGAUCCCUAUUUGAUUAAUCCAAUUGGAGCAACGAAAGUUGAAACUCAGUCAUACAUCAUUAACACUCUGAGUUCAAAGGGAAAACAAAUUUAUCUUUUUCCUUAUAUUAAUUAGUAAGUUCAAUUAUAAGUCGUCAAUUAUUAUAUUUCUUCUUUUAAAUAUUUAUUAACUCUUUUCAUGGAUGAUAUAUGGCUCAUUGCCAAUUACUUGUGUUAUCCGUAGUUGAUAACACUAUUGUGUGGUUUUGUUCACUGCACAAGAAGUCAUCCACACAUCUGAAGCAAAUAAGUGAUGUGUAAUUACAUUAUAAAAUUAACUGCGUAUGUUACUUAAACGUAUAUUAAUGCGAUUUUUGUAUUAAUCAAGGCAUGACAUGGAUAUAACAUACUCAAAGGUCGAGCCAGUGCAAAUUAUCAAAAGCUAACAUGGUUGAACCUAAAGGUUCGUAAUUUUUGUCUUUCUCUUUUCAUUGUUUAUCAAUAUUAACUUUUAAUUUAUAUUGAAUUAUAGUGUAAUAGACAAUCGGGAGGCUAUGAGUGUGGCUAUUACAUUAUGCAAUGGAUGGUUACCAUUGUAAGACUAGGCAUUAAAACAAAUUGGGAGCAUGUAAUAAUAUUUAAAUUAUUCUUUAUAAUUAGUUAAAGUAUAUGUAUCUUAACACUAAUUAAUGUGAACCUUAUUUUGUAAUGUAGUUUUUUACGGAUGAGCAACCAUUGUCUUUGGCCGCCAUAAAUUAUGUGAGACAUGCUUGGGCCACAGAUUACCGUAAUUGUCGUUUAUACCUCUCGGGAGAAGGGUAUAAUAACCAUCAUUUAUACCUCCAUCUUUGAUGGGCCAAGGGAAGGGUCUAAAACAACGGUUCUCUUGCAUGUAUAAAAUUUGGCAGUGCAUGGAAGGGUCUAAACCGGCGGUUAUUACUAUAAUUGUCGUCUAUGCAUAAACACGUCGGUUCAAGAAUUGUCGUCUAUACCUCAAGAGAAUAGACUACGUGUUUAUUGAUAAGUUCCUAAUUUCCGUAAUAUUUCAUAUUAAAACAUAGGCACUUAUGAGUAUUAAUUGCUAAUUUACAUAUAAAAUAAUCUCUAAUUUAUGAAUUUAUACCUUUUUACAUUUUUUAUGAUCUUUAAUUGAAUAAGAGCAUUUUAUUCCUAAAUUUGGUGUUAAAUGUAGGUUUCUAUGGAAGAAUGGAGAUUUGGACUAAAGAAGAAUGAUAUAUGUUAAAAGGAGAAAGCUGGAAGACCCAAAACGCACACAAGAGAGAAAAAAGUCCAACUCAGUAGCGAGAAUGCGUCAAAUUAAUUGGGCUAAUUUUAUGUUUUAAUGAACAAGCCCGAAGCGCAACACAAGAAGUCAUCUAACCCUAGCAAAUUAGGUUAGAUAGGGGGCUAUAAGCACAACCCUAAGGUGCUAGAUUGAGAGGAAAGCACCAUUGAGUGAAUUCCAAUUGGGAGAAUGGAAGGAGCUAGAAGUAUGUGUGGUUAAGUCUACCCUUUGGGAUUGAGAGUAAUCUGUUUAAACUCUUAUGUAUUGAGGUGAUAUUUAAUUAUGAUAUAAUAUUUUGUUCUUCAUUGAUUAUUGGUAUUGUUUUUUUGCUUCUAAAUAUUUGUGACAUGUUUGAGAAUCUUAAAUCUGACUGGAAAGUAGUUUUAGAGUUCUGACCUAAACAACAAUACUUAACAUAUUUGAGUGUUAGGAAUAGACUUGAAAUGUUAAUUGCAAUUAAUGUUUGAGUUUGAUUCUAAGUUGUUCUUAUAAAUAUGCGAGGGAUCGAUAUUUAGGGAAUAUUCUUAAGAAUUGUAUAUGUGAGGAAUCAAUAUAAAUGACUUUUAUACGAGCAUCAAUUUCAAUCAAAGAACAUAAUGUUAACAUGCUAAUCAAAAUAUGAAAGAGUGAGACAGAUGAAACUUAAUCCCUAUUUUUCCAACUUAAAGCAAUCAAUUCUUUGUCUGUUUUCUUAUUGAUCAUCGCCAACAUAACCAUUUUCAACACACUUUUAAUUGUUUUGUUUUAUAUUUAGUGAGUAUUGUACUUGAUAAUUCAACUGUUCUUUGUGGGAUCGAUAUCCGUCCUUAGGGACAAAUUAUUACUUUUGACAGCGCAGUGCACUUGCUGCAAAAAGUCAUUAUUUAUAUAUAGCAAUUUCGAGACCAUUGUCUUAUUGCUAAAAGAAUCGUCACUAGUACUUACUUUUUUUUGCACUAGUACAUUACAUCAAAUGACGUGAUUACAUAAAAAGUAAUUAAAGUGAAAUAAAAUUAACCUUAGUAACAUACGAAAAGGCCCAUAAAUAUUCUACAUAACUAAUAUUUAUGAAAUUAUUUUAGAACAUGAGAAAACUCAUAAUUCAGUUUACAGAAUUUGAAUUCUUUUGUUUUUUUUCUUGUAAGAAAAACAUGUCAUGUUGCCUAAUUAAUUUGAUAAGGAUUUGACUCCCAUAUUGCACAAGGCAUUCUGUCUCGAUAUUGUUCAUUGUCAGACUUUCGCGCACUGACACAAGACAUUCAUCAAAGCGUCACCUCAAAAUCAAAUAUCUAGAUCAAAUCCAACCUUAUCAAUGCAUAUAAUUCAUUCCAUAUUACAUGAGGCAUUGUGCCUCAAUACUGUUCAUCAUCAUCUUUCUGCACAUUGGCGCAAAUCAUUAAUUAGAGUGUCGCCUCUAAAUGAAUGGUACAAAUAAAGUUCAUUCAGAUGAAAACACAUGAUUCACUCUUACAUUACAUGAGACAUUAUGCCUAAUACUAUAUAACCUAGAAGUAAUAAUUUGGAUUAACUCUAAUUUUAUCAAUGCAACAACUUCAAAAACGUCAAACGAGGCAUUAUUCACCACCAUUGUUGACCAUGUACUCUAUUUGUAGACUCAAUUAUUGGAUUGUAUCAAAUUUUUUGUCUUUAUCUCUACAUUUAAACUAAUCUAUUGUCUCGUACUACUGUCAUUCAAUGCUUGCAACAAGUCGGAUUUUUUGAAAUAAUAAAACUUAGACAUCUCAAGGUGGACGACUAUUUGGUAACCACUUUGAUUGAGAGGUGGAUAAUUAAGACUCAUACAUUCUAUUUACCCUCUUCGGAGCACCACAAAACUUGAAGGUGUUUCACUUAUGCUUGAGUUAAAUGUUGAUAAACCCAAAUCAUUGGUCCCAUGAUGGUUGAUUAGAAAGAAAUGUGUGAUAUAUAUUAAGGUAUCGUGUUUGUUAGAGGAAAGACAUUACUUGACGAUAAGGUCAAACUAAAGUGGAUAAGAGAGAACAUGUUGCCACUACUAGAAGAACCAUUUAAGGAACAACUCCACGUCUAUUGUAGGGCAUACAUCUUAGGUGUUUUAAUGUUUGACAAAGCAAACAACAAAUUACAUUUCAUGUACAAAAACAACGAGUGGUUGUGCACCACAAUUACAAUCAUGAGCAUGACAUUGCAUGUCAUAUAUCAUACCUAUUUUUAACCUCUAACCAACUUAUCCAUUUGUGUGCAAAUAGAGUAGAGGUAAAGUACAAAACUUUCAAAAUGUACCUUACAAUGAUCUAGUUGGGUAUAGAGAAAUGAUAGAUCACAUUUAAGGAGACUAGGUACAUAAUAUAACAAAUUCAUAUCUCAUGUUUUCUUUAAUAUUUGUCUUUAAUAUUAACUUUGGCUAUAUUUUUUUUUUUAUAACAAACAUCUCUUUAUUGUACUUUUUAUGAGCUACAUAUUGAGACUUAGAGAGAUUAACAUCGGCUGAAACCUAUAGAGAUGCACAAUUAUGGAAAUCGUGCACUACAAUAAUUUGUUUUGCAAUUGUUAAAUGACAAUAAUUUAAGAGGGUGAAAGUCAGUUUGAUCUAUUAUGAGAAAUCCUUUCUCCACCCAAAAAUUUGGAAAAACUACAUAAAAUUGACACGAGGGGGCAUUGAUGAGUAAGGUACAAAUGUGCACAAUGGAACAAUGUGCAAAACAACAAACGUGAAUUAACAUUGACUAGGAAUCCAAUACAAGGACUAUUGUUCCAUAUACAUAAAUACAAGAAAGGGUACAUACCAAUCCAUCUAUUUCUUAUGUGUGUCAUAACUAAUCUAAGAUCUAAGAAACACACAUUAUAAGCAAAACUCACCAUCCACAUUCAAAACAAGUAUAUACUACAUUCAUUCUUAUUCAAUUCCUCAAGAACAUUUAUGCCAACUCCUGAGUCACGCCUCCACCACACUCGAUUAUGAAUGAACGGAGACAUUUGUUUGUGUCAAGUUCUGAUGAUCUGUUGUCAAAUUUAUUUGUGAGAAUUUUUAUAACACCAACUUUGACCCUUUACUCGAGGGAUUUUCAUAUUGAAACUGACAAUUCUAGUGUUGUGUUUUCAAAUUAUGGAGCAUACCAACAUAUGAGUGUGUAAAAUCCAACAAGCCCUACCCAAAAAAAUAACCACUGUAAAUGAAUGGAAAUUCCCACUAUAGAGACUACAUAUAAUAUAAAAUUUAUUUUAAUUAACCAAAAUAUUGACUAAUAUCUCCAAAACUUAAUUUUACAAUUUAUAAUUCUUAAUUUUUUAAUCUAUAUUUAAUAUUUAUAAUAUUAUUCACAUGUCAUCUAAAUAUUUAUAAAAUAGUCAAAUAUAUACAUUUACAAUAAUAAACGUAAUAUUAAAUUAUUUAAAAAUUAUAUUACUAAAAUAUAAUAAUAUUUAAAAUAUUGAUUUAAGUUAUUGUAUAAUAAAUUAAAAUUUUGACAAUCAUUAUUAAUUUAAACUACACUUACACUUUUAAUGUUAAUAAUUAAUUCUAGUGGUUUAAAUAUACAAUUACUUUAUUAUUAAUAAAUUUAAUAGUCUUUAUAAAUGAUUAAACUAUCAAGUUUGUAAUAGCUAAUAUAAAAUCAGAUAAAAAAAUUCAUUACUAAUGUUAAGAUAAUGUUUCAAUAAAUAUUAAUUAUUAUUAUGUUUCAAUAAAUAUUAAUUAUUAUUAUUAUUAAUUGUAAUUUUAAAAUUUUAAUAAUACCAAACAGUUUAAUUUAAGUAUCAAUACUAAUUAAUUACAAAUUUUAAUGUUACAAAUAUUUUAAUUUAGUUUAUAUUGACAUAAUUAUUAAAAUAUUAUUCUGAUUAUUAUUAUUAAUUAUAAAUUUUAUUUAUUUAUUUUUUAUUUAUAUAGUAUUUUAUUAACCUGUCAUACUACAUCACUAUGAAAUCCACACAGCUAUGCGCAUAAUUAAUCUCAAUAUCAUCUCUCUCCUAGUAUGACAGGGUUAACUCAUAUAACAGGUCAAGUUAGUUAUCUAUCAAACAACUUACCCAUUCAUACGAACCUCAUUUGACUCUCACGACCUGAAUAACUUCAUCUAUAUGAUUCCAUUAUCUCAUUAGAGUCAGGAUAUCUCCUUCUAGAUGAAUCCCUAGUCAAUGCACAUCCUAAACAAUCUUAACUAUUUUCUUUUCUGAAAAUACUAUGUCUUGAUUAAAAUUCAUAUUUUGAACCUCAUAAUAUCCAACAUCAAACUAUCAAAUCAUACCAAUGCUUAGAAUAUCCAAAACACACAACAAUUCAUUAACUAAUCAUAUAAAUGUCUAAUUAAAGAGAUUUUCAAUUAAUUAUACAUGAAAUAAAAGUUUACAUACUUUAUAAGAAAAACUAUAUAAAAAUAAAUAAAUCAAUCUUUUAAAAGCAAAUAAAAAAUAGAUUAACAUUUUAAUUUAUUAUUAUUAUUAUUAUUAUAGACUUUAGCUUGAGCUAGAAUUCGCUAGCUUGAGCUAAAAUCCACUAGAGAGCACCCAGAAUUUUAGCUUGAGCUAAAAUUCGCUAGCUUGGGCUAAAAUCCUCCAGAGAGCACCCAAAAUUUUAGCUUGAGACGGAAUUCGCUGGCUUGAGCUAAAAUCCUCCAGAGAGCACCCAAAAUUUUACCUUGCUAAAAUUCGCUAGCUUGGGCUAAAAUUAUCCAAAGAGCACCCAAAAUUUUAGCUUGAGCUAGAAUUCGCUAGCUUGAGCUAGAAUUCGCUAGCUUAAGCUAAAAUCCUCUAGAGAGCACCAAGAAUUGAGCUAGAAUUCACUAGCUUGCAGAGAAUCAUUGAGCUAUUAUGUCCAUCUAUAUAUAUAUAUAUAUAUAUAUAUAUAUAUAUAUAUGAUUUCUAAUUCCAAAACCAUUUAAAUCAAACAACCAAAUCUCAAUCACAACACUUUUAAUUUCAAUCAAACUACAAUCUACUAAAAACAAGGAAAUCUUGCAACAAAAUUUGGAAUUGGUGACCACAUCACACUCACAUUCAUUGAAAAUUUUAAACUAGCUUCCCUUACCCGGACUUUAGCAGAUGCUCACUAAGAAGCUUAAGGAUACCCUAGAUCAAAACUAAUUCAAAGGAAAGAAAUUUUAGAGAGAAGGUAGAGGAAAGAAAAAUGAGUUUUUAGAGAGAUGAUGAUUCUUUUAAAAUGAAACCUGAAUAACUAAAUUUCUAUUUAUAUAGCCUUUUCACUUUAAUAAUAAAAUAUUCAGGUGUCAUUUUAAUUGUACCAUUUAUACUCUAAAACUAUUUUUGUCGUUCCUUACAAUAUACUUUACAAAUCAAUCUAAUAAUAUUUUAAUCAUAUUUAAUUUAGUUUUUAAUUUAAAAUAUUAUUAUAUUAUUAUAAUAUUGUGUAAGAUGUAUGUUUUUAUUGUAUGUAGAUUUUUUAAUAAAGCAUUGACUAUACAAUUUUUAAUUAAUGAUAUAAAAAAAGAUAUUUUUAUUAUUUUAUAUAAAAUUUGAAAUUUGUUCUCCAUAUUUUGUAUUUUUUUUAAUAAUACUUUUUUUUAUGUGAUGACAAAUGAUUGUUAUUAUUUGAUGUGUCAGCAUAACAAGAUGUUAACAGUGAUGCAAAUUUUUUUUAUAUAAAUAGAAUAUAAAAUUUGAAAUAAAGAAAAAGAGUUAUAUUGGAGCAAAGUUCUCAAAUGUAUAUUCUUCUUUCCAAUACCGAUAACGAGAACUAACAACGCAAGAAUGAACUUCAUAGUUUAGAAAUGGUUUGACAUGUUAUCGAAUAGGUUUACUAAAUCAAACAGAAUACCAAUUUGAGACGAAAUUGAAACAGCAAUUUAUUGUUGAUGGAGAAGUUGUUCACACAAUUAUCCCUAAAUCAAUCUAUUUUGAGGCAGUGAGGCUUUCAUAGCGGCCUUUGAAGAAGGCAAACAGUGGUUCCCUUGGAGGAAGAACUUCCUUCACAACAGAGUGGUUUAUCAACUCUUGGCUCCAUUUGUAGAGAUUAGGAAAUUUCUCACUGCUCAAUAACUGUAACCCUGCUAUUUCCUGAACAAUUGGCAUCCAAAAUGCUAUGAACACACCUGCAAUAUCCACCAACCCAAUCUCCUCUCCCCCAAAAAAUUUCUUCUCCUUUAUCUCAUCCUCAAGAAACUGCAGACCCUCCAAUGCUUCUUGCAAAUUCUUCUCUCUCUCUUUCUCAUCAACAGUGAAAGCAGAUUUCCAUGCAGCACCCACAACCUGAUUUCACACACCAGUUACCACAAACAUUUCACCUUUCAAAUCAUUAACAUGAUCGUACAAAAAAUUGAUACAUCUGAUGAAUGAAGUUUCUUAGAAAAACAUAUGGUUGGCUGUUGAUUAUUGAGUUCUUAAACAUAUAUACUCCAAGGAAAAAGGAGGAAAAGAGGAAAACAUGGGUUACCUUGUCAUCAAUGAAUUUGGACCAGAAACGAGCCAAGGCUUUCUGGUGAGGAUCAGAAGGAGAGAUGGGGUUGUUGUUCCAGGUCUCAUCGAUGUACUCAACAAUGAUCAUAGACUCUGCUAUGGGCUUCUCAUUGUGAACAAAAACUGGGACCUUCUUGUGAACUGGGUUAUAUUUGAGAAGCUGUUCACUCUUGUUGGCCAAAUUUUCUUCCACAAAUUCGUAUUC